Molecule: long non-coding RNA, 337 nt
Filed under: Elaeis guineensis (African oil palm)
Lineage: Eukaryota; Viridiplantae; Streptophyta; Magnoliopsida; Arecales; Arecaceae
Description: long non-coding RNA (EGUI_LNC029015)
Source: RNAcentral
GCUGCAGCCACUGGAGCACCAAAGCAGCCAUUAUCACAUCCCGCAAUAAAAUCUUGAGCUCACAACCAAACUAAAUAGAGUGUGGAUCCUCUAUUGUAACCCAUGCGCAUUGUCCAUCGCACAAUAGACCACUACGAAUGAGAAUGGAUUGUUCGAUAUAUACCACGUAUGACCGCGUGCAGCCAUCUAUUAUACGAUGGAUGGUGCAUGAGAUGCAUCGUAUCAUACAGUGCAUCAUGGAUAUCAUAGAAAAUCCAUGUUUAACUAGAUAAUGAUUAGUAUUUUAAUUAUAACAGCUUCAUGAUAUUUUUUUUGGAGAGAUGGGAUAAAGGAUGGC